Molecule: ribosomal RNA, 468 nt
Filed under: uncultured bacterium
Lineage: Bacteria
Description: partial 16S ribosomal RNA
Rfam family: Bacterial small subunit ribosomal RNA
Source: RNAcentral
GACGAACGCUGGCGGCGUGCUUAACACAUGCAAGUCGAACGGAAAGGCCCUGCUUUUGUGGGGUGCUCGAGUGGCGAAGGGGUGUGUAACACGUGAGUAUCCUGCCCUUGACUUUGGGAUAACUUCAGGAAACUGCGGCUCAUACCGGAUAGGAGCUCCUGCUGCAUGGUGGUGGUUGGAAAGUUUCGGCGGUUGUGGAUGGACUCGCGGCUUAUCAGCUUGUUUGUGGGGUAGUUGCUUACCAAGGCUUUGACGGGUAGCCGGCCUGAGAGGGGGACCGGCGACAUGGGGACUGAGAGACGGACCAGACUCCUACGGGAGGCAGCAGUGGGGAAUAUUGCACAAUGGGGGGAAGCCUGAUACAGCAACCCUGCGAGCGGGAUGACGGCCUUCGGGUGGUAAACCGCUGUCGCCUGAGACGAAGCGGGAGUGACGGUAACGGGUAAAGAAGCACCGGCUAACUACGUG